GCGGGCGAUCAUACCAGCUCUAAUGCCACGGAUCCCAUCAAAACUCCGCAGCUAAGCGUGCUUAGGCGAGAGUUGUACUAGGAUGGUUUGGUCGAAUUUGCAUUCA
Non-coding RNA from Gossypium raimondii (Peruvian cotton), 106 nucleotides. NCBI's taxonomy places the organism in Eukaryota, Viridiplantae, Streptophyta, Magnoliopsida, Malvales, Malvaceae. The record is from Rfam.